CUCCACCCCCUGCCUUUGGCACAUUAUAUACCCACACGCAGUCCAGCUGGGAGAGUGUUCAACAUGCUGCUGCUGAUUCACAGUGCAGACUAUUAUAACACUGCACAGCAGAGAAAGAGAGGAGGACUGCACAGGGACUUCGGAUGUUUUGUUGCUGGCCAUGCUCCUUUUGCACGUAGGGAUGUUUUGUUGCUGGCCAUGCUCCUUUUGCACGUAGUUUCACAUCGGACUGUUUAGAUCUAGGCUUCAUCUCUUCUCAAGCCAGUACUGGAUUCGGAGUACAGUAGAGGAAGUUUCCACCUGGCUUCCAAUAGCCUCACUGGCUUCUAAUUUUUUAAAAAUGGGCUGUACCACAGGGCACCUGGCAUGCCAGCCCCAGCCUUCUUCAAACACCAACCAGGAGGGACAGACUCCGGAGGGGGCAGCCAAAGUCCCAGAGGUCCUGUCUUCUUUAGAGAAGCUUUCUCAGGCCACAGGGGGCAUGGAAAAAUCUUGGUAUCGCUGCAUCUUCCCCUUUGGAAUCAUCUCACUGGUAAUUGGUAUAGCUGGCACGAGCGUGACCUACACCUACAACGAUCUCCCACAGACCAAGGUGGUCUCUGUGGUCUUGCUGAUUGUCGGGCUGGUCCUGAUGGUAAUGGCUACUGCCUGUUGGACAACACAUAAGAAGAAACGCAGGAAAAAGAAAGCAGGAGAACCCUUUACCACUGAACCGUGUCCCCUGUGAGGAGAGACUACAAGGACGAAGAUGCUUUUGAUUGAGAACACAGGGAGUUGUGAUGCCACCUUGCCUUUUGUUUAGCAUUUCUUUUUGCCAAACUUCGGUCCAUGUAUUCACUCAGGUAGCAGCAGUGUGAACAUGGAAAAAGGACAGAUGGACAAUGUGUUCAGGACACCCAGGGAGCCAUGCAACCCAGUGGACAAGUAUGAGGGUUCGCACAUGGUUUACUGCCACUCAGCAAGUGUCUAGUGUCAAAACAACUCCAGAGCCACAUGCACAUUUAAGACACUUAACGCUUGGGCCGUAACACCAAGCCACUGCUGAAGUCAGUGCUGCCGUCAACACAGCCGUCAGUCCCCUGCAUUCCUGCCUUUGGGGUCAAAUGUCUCUCCAAGGCUAGCAAAGAAGUGAUCCAGAGAAGGCAACCAGACACCGCGACAAAAAGCAGAGCUGCAACCCCGUAAUCGUUGCACGUCAUUCCCCUGUCCUGUGACACUACAGCAAUGUGUGAGCUUUUUACGCAAUGGGAGAGUGGAACCUGAGCUGAGCCUCAACUAGUCCUUACUGGUGAGAGAUGGCAUGAGCAGGAAACAUUGUGUGUGUGUGCAGCCAGGAAGAUUAAGAACAAGCAUGCUGCAUGCUAUUCCACUUCCACUUCUCUGUCAGAGUUUUACAAUGUCAGGCUGGGUGCAGUGUUCACAUAUAGAGCAGUGACCACAUUCCUGGAAGCCUAUCUUCUUACUGAAUUCAGUUCCUGUCUGCGAUCGAUCGAGCUGAACUGACUAGGCAAGUAGAUUGAUUAUCUGUAGCACGUGUGUUGCAUUAGAGUUGGAACUGAAUUCUAUAGGAAGGUGUGCUCCUAGGUCUACCCAAAGCAGAAUAGGUGAGGAUUAAUCUAUAGGAUUUCUGAUAUUCUCACCAUUUGUGUAAACCUCUGUUUUCUUCACUGUAAGUCUGUGCCUCGAAUCAUCUGAGGAAAUAUACAAGGAAAAAAACCAAAGCCCUUUUUGUUUUGGGUUAGUUGGUGAAAAUCUUGCCUUCAGAGAUGAGACUUCAUUUCUCUGCUUCACAGAGAAUGAUAUUACUAAAGGAGAAAAAACACAAAAGGACACCAGAUGUCAUGACUUGCAUCCAGAGUUUACUUCACUCCUGUGCCUUGAGCAAGUGGGACUCAAGUGGCGUACAGUACCUUCUCACCGUUCUCUUUGGCCUUUUGCUCUUCAUAAACCUAUUGGCCAACAGCAGCUUUUCCAUUCAAGCUAAUCCUGAUUCUCAUGUCAUUUCUGUCUUAAGGGGUUACUUUCCAUCAGUCCCGUCUGCUGCCCUUCUCUUUCACACCCUGCUCAUAAACCCCCCAUUGCUCCAGUUCCAUAAACUGCCAUCAUUCUAGCAUUUCACAUCCAUCCCCAUGGCAGAAAUACCAAUCAUUACACCGUGUCUGGAAUUCUCUCCAUUUGAAGAAAGACCUUCACCCAGGAAUGGACAAACUUCCCCUGCUACUCAGAGCACACGCUACUAAAGAAGACCAGAUCAAAAGACUCUAAAGGAAUGAUUAAGUCAAUGAAUGAAUACGCACUCAAUGUCAAAAUAUCUUUACAUUUUACAAAUUACGUAUGGCCUAAUUUAAAAAAAUAUAUAUUUUGGUAUAUACAUUUAUUUCUGUAUUCAUUUCUUUGUAAUGUAUUCCACAAUUGAUUUAUUUCUGAAUUUAUCUACUACUCUAUGUUUUUAUUCUUGAGG
Molecule: long non-coding RNA, 2461 nt
Organism: Ictalurus punctatus (channel catfish)
Lineage: Eukaryota; Metazoa; Chordata; Actinopteri; Siluriformes; Ictaluridae
Source: Ensembl